RNAcentral lists this ribosomal RNA (2903 nucleotides) under Escherichia coli. RNAcentral's name for it is "bacterial LSU rRNA". It matches the Rfam family "Bacterial large subunit ribosomal RNA". Lineage: Bacteria; Pseudomonadati; Pseudomonadota; Gammaproteobacteria; Enterobacterales; Enterobacteriaceae. The record is from RNAcentral.
UUAAGCGACUAAGCGUACACGGUGGAUGCCCUGGCAGUCAGAGGCGAUGAAGGACGUGCUAAUCUGCGAUAAGCGUCGGUAAGGUGAUAUGAACCGUUAUAACCGGCGAUUUCCGAAUGGGGAAACCCAGUGUGAUUCGUCACACUAUCAUUAACUGAAUCCAUAGGUUAAUGAGGCGAACCGGGGGAACUGAAACAUCUAAGUACCCCGAGGAAAAGAAAUCAACCGAGAUUCCCCCAGUAGCGGCGAGCGAACGGGGAGCAGCCCAGAGCCUGAAUCAGUGUGUGUGUUAGUGGAAGCGUCUGGAAAGGCGCGCGAUACAGGGUGACAGCCCCGUACACAAAAAUGCACAUGCUGUGAGCUCGAUGAGUAGGGCGGGACACGUGGUAUCCUGUCUGAAUAUGGGGGGGACCAUCCUCCAAGGCUAAAUACUCCUGACUGACCGAUAGUGAACCAGUACCGUGAGGGAAAGGCGAAAAGAACCCCGGCGAGGGGAGUGAAAAAGAACCUGAAACCGUGUACGUACAAGCAGUGGGAGCCUCUUUUAUGGGGUGACUGCGUACCUUUUGUAUAAUGGGUCAGCGACUUAUAUUCUGUAGCAAGGUUAACCGAAUAGGGGAGCCGAAGGGAAACCGAGUCUUAACUGGGCGUUAAGUUGCAGGGUAUAGACCCGAAACCCGGUGAUCUAGCCAUGGGCAGGUUGAAGGUUGGGUAACACUAACUGGAGGACCGAACCGACUAAUGUUGAAAAAUUAGCGGAUGACUUGUGGCUGGGGGUGAAAGGCCAAUCAAACCGGGAGAUAGCUGGUUCUCCCCGAAAGCUAUUUAGGUAGCGCCUCGUGAAUUCAUCUCCGGGGGUAGAGCACUGUUUCGGCAAGGGGGUCAUCCCGACUUACCAACCCGAUGCAAACUGCGAAUACCGGAGAAUGUUAUCACGGGAGACACACGGCGGGUGCUAACGUCCGUCGUGAAGAGGGAAACAACCCAGACCGCCAGCUAAGGUCCCAAAGUCAUGGUUAAGUGGGAAACGAUGUGGGAAGGCCCAGACAGCCAGGAUGUUGGCUUAGAAGCAGCCAUCAUUUAAAGAAAGCGUAAUAGCUCACUGGUCGAGUCGGCCUGCGCGGAAGAUGUAACGGGGCUAAACCAUGCACCGAAGCUGCGGCAGCGACGCUUAUGCGUUGUUGGGUAGGGGAGCGUUCUGUAAGCCUGUGAAGGUGUGCUGUGAGGCAUGCUGGAGGUAUCAGAAGUGCGAAUGCUGACAUAAGUAACGAUAAAGCGGGUGAAAAGCCCGCUCGCCGGAAGACCAAGGGUUCCUGUCCAACGUUAAUCGGGGCAGGGUGAGUCGACCCCUAAGGCGAGGCCGAAAGGCGUAGUCGAUGGGAAACAGGUUAAUAUUCCUGUACUUGGUGUUACUGCGAAGGGGGGACGGAGAAGGCUAUGUUGGCCGGGCGACGGUUGUCCCGGUUUAAGCGUGUAGGCUGGUUUUCCAGGCAAAUCCGGAAAAUCAAGGCUGAGGCGUGAUGACGAGGCACUACGGUGCUGAAGCAACAAAUGCCCUGCUUCCAGGAAAAGCCUCUAAGCAUCAGGUAACAUCAAAUCGUACCCCAAACCGACACAGGUGGUCAGGUAGAGAAUACCAAGGCGCUUGAGAGAACUCGGGUGAAGGAACUAGGCAAAAUGGUGCCGUAACUUCGGGAGAAGGCACGCUGAUAUGUAGGUGAAGUCCCUUGCGGAUGGAGCUGAAAUCAGUCGAAGAUACCAGCUGGCUGCAACUGUUUAUUAAAAACACAGCACUGUGCAAACACGAAAGUGGACGUAUACGGUGUGACGCCUGCCCGGUGCCGGAAGGUUAAUUGAUGGGGUCAGCGCAAGCGAAGCUCUUGAUCGAAGCCCCGGUAAACGGCGGCCGUAACUAUAACGGUCCUAAGGUAGCGAAAUUCCUUGUCGGGUAAGUUCCGACCUGCACGAAUGGCGUAAUGAUGGCCAGGCUGUCUCCACCCGAGACUCAGUGAAAUUGAACUCGCUGUGAAGAUGCAGUGUACCCGCGGCAAGACGGAAAGACCCCGUGAACCUUUACUAUAGCUUGACACUGAACAUUGAGCCUUGAUGUGUAGGAUAGGUGGGAGGCUUAGAAGUGUGGACGCCAGUCUGCAUGGAGCCGACCUUGAAAUACCACCCUUUAAUGUUUGAUGUUCUAACGUGGACCCGUAAUCCGGGUUGCGGACAGUGUCUGGUGGGUAGUUUGACUGGGGCGGUCUCCUCCUAAAGAGUAACGGAGGAGCACGAAGGUUGGCUAAUCCUGGUCGGACAUCAGGAGGUUAGUGCAAUGGCAUAAGCCAGCUUGACUGCGAGCGUGACGGCGCGAGCAGGUGCGAAAGCAGGUCAUAGUGAUCCGGUGGUUCUGAAUGGAAGGGCCAUCGCUCAACGGAUAAAAGGUACUCCGGGGAUAACAGGCUGAUACCGCCCAAGAGUUCAUAUCGACGGCGGUGUUUGGCACCUCGAUGUCGGCUCAUCACAUCCUGGGGCUGAAGUAGGUCCCAAGGGUAUGGCUGUUCGCCAUUUAAAGUGGUACGCGAGCUGGGUUUAGAACGUCGUGAGACAGUUCGGUCCCUAUCUGCCGUGGGCGCUGGAGAACUGAGGGGGGCUGCUCCUAGUACGAGAGGACCGGAGUGGACGCAUCACUGGUGUUCGGGUUGUCAUGCCAAUGGCACUGCCCGGUAGCUAAAUGCGGAAGAGAUAAGUGCUGAAAGCAUCUAAGCACGAAACUUGCCCCGAGAUGAGUUCUCCCUGACCCUUUAAGGGUCCUGAAGGAACGUUGAAGACGACGACGUUGAUAGGCCGGGUGUGUAAGCGCAGCGAUGCGUUGAGCUAACCGGUACUAAUGAACCGUGAGGCUUAACCUU